Molecule: ribosomal RNA, 253 nt
Filed under: uncultured bacterium
Lineage: Bacteria
Description: partial 16S ribosomal RNA
Rfam family: Bacterial small subunit ribosomal RNA
Source: RNAcentral
UACGUAGGGUGCAAGCGUUGUCCGGAAUUAUUGGGCGUAAAGAGCUUGUAGGCGGUUUGUCGCGUCUGCUGUGAAAUUUCGGGGCUCAACCCCGAACUUGCAGUGGGUACGGGCAGGCUAGAGUGUGGUAGGGGAGACUGGAAUUCCUGGUGUAGCGGUGGAAUGCGCAGAUAUCAGGAGGAACACCGAUGGCGAAGGCAGGUCUCUGGGCCACUACUGACGCUGAGAAGCGAAAGCAUGGGGAGCGAACAGG